GUCACAUGAUGGACAUGAUAUAAUGAAACAACAUUGUGGAGAGGAAAGCAUUAGGGGAGCCCACGGCUACAAAAACAAGUGAGUGAGAAGAGGUGGGAGGAAGAGAAACUACGCCACCUCCCCUGCAGCCGAGUGCACGCAGCAGCCUGGCGUGACAAGUGGGCGACGCCGGGGGGCAGGGAGCCGGGGUCCUUGGCCCUGGCCGGGGACCCCACCGCCCACCGCGCGGAGGACAACUUUUAGCCGGCAGCCCAGACCAGCGCGGCACCUGUCUCCGGAGUCUCCACCGCUCCUCCCGAUUCAUCCCAGGGAAAUUCUCAAGAAUACGCUCUACAAAUCUACGUGCGCAUCAUUUUCACCUCGCGUCGCGCCCGGGAGGAAGGAACGAGGCAAGGAGCUAAAGCAGCGUGCGUUCAGCCCUGGGGCAUUUUAUUAAUGCUUUUACGAGUUAGAAGAGUUGGGAUAAUUUGCCAUCUGGAGUUUCUCUGCCUUGCUGAUCUGAGCUCAGACCUGCCAAUUUACCAGAGAUAAUUGAUAACACCCUGUAACAGCUGAGAGGAAAAUGGAAGAAACGGAGAUACUUUUAGUGAAGCAGAAUAAACCACUGAACAGGAAAAAUGAGGAAGCUGUGAGUACCAGUGGAAGGAACGAGCCAGGAAGAGGGACUGGAACCAUCUCAGAAGCCAUGCCCCUCAGGCUGGAACUUGCCCUGUCUCCUCGCAGAUGAGCUACCUCUUGUGUUUAAGAAUUAAAGGAAGAUGAGCUAGGAAUCAAGAAAUACGCAGAACUGAUUCCUGUCACUGGCGCCACCCUGCCACUUGCCCAGAGCUGUGGUAUAAAUUUUUUUAAUAGGCUGAAAUAAAAAUAUGAAUAGCAUUUUGGUAUUAAGCAUUAAAUUGAUAAAGGCUAUGAGAUACACCUGCUCUCAACCAUGUUAAUUUUUUAUUAUUGGUAUUAAUAAAUUAUUACUUACUAACAUAUUAACAAGAAUUGCAUUGAGAAACAAAGCAUCCACAGGCCAAAUCUUCUGAAUUUCAAAUGUUUAUAUUAAUGCGUUGUAUUCUAGAAAAGUAGAAUUGUCUUAAGUAGCUUUGUAAUAUAAAGUCAUCUAUCAGCCCAUUACACCUAUUAGAAUGUUUUAACCUUUAUUUCCCACUUUUUUGUUUCUAGACUGAGUGUACUUGGUCUGGUAUUUGUGGCAUAACUUACGGAACACAUAAGAAUGAUACAGAUACUAUUUAAUGAUGACCUAAUACAAGCUUAGAUAGCUAAGGUGAAAGCUUCUAUGGCCUUAACAUUUUCCUCUUGAAGAAUGUAUUUUCUGUAAUAAAAUACAGUGGCUACUUGAAAUCUAUAAACUUAUGUGAGGUCUGGAUAAAUCUGAGCAACUUUCUUCUUUGUGCUCCAGGAACCUACGCACUAUAUAUAUAAAUAAAGCUUAAGUAAACAUCACUGCAAUCUGUGUUUUGUUUGAUUAUAUUACGUAUUGCCUGAUCUUUAAAUAAUGAUGAAAAAUAGCCUUUAACAUAAACCAUGAAUGGAUAUGCACUUGAGGGAAACAGUUUCUUGGAUAAUUAAACUUUAAUUUCUCACCGUGGAUUCCUUGGAUCUUGUAAUAUUUUUUAAAACAGUCCUGGGGAUUUAUUUUUAAGGCGUCCAAAUGAAUUAUUAGUUCUCAAAAGCCAUAGUAUAUUCAUGGGUCGAUAUAUCCUCAAAACACUAUUUUUAAACUGCUUAGUUUAUUUUUCUUAGCGUGCUCAUCUGCUGCAUAAUUUUCUUUGCUAUGUAUGGGUCACAUGCUUCCUCCCGUCCAUAACUCACGCACUUAAAAUUCUCACUUCCUGAUUGAGCCAUCAGAUUACGUAAAAUGUAAAUCAGCCUGAAUACCUAGGAGCAGGAAUUUUAAGGGAGAAAAUGCCGUUUUCUUUUUCUGUGUCAUUAUUAACCCUUAAAUAUCAGAGUGAGUGUCUGCUCACCUAUUUGUAUUUGGAAACGAGAUACUGUUAGGGGUUUUUCUUGGCCCUUCCCUUUCAGAUUGAAUCAGACUUUGCUGCUUUCCUUAUACAAAAUAAUGUACCAACUAGAUAGACGGUGGGAGUGGUAUCGUUGCAGGAAUGAAACCAAAAGGGUUCCGAUGAUUGAGAGAGAUUCAUUUAUUUUUUAACUCUUCUCAUGAUCUGAAUGAAGAGUACAGCAUCUAUCAAAAGGUAACAACCUAAUAUUUCAGAAUUGCAAGUGGCCAUUUAGCCUUUCUGCUGCCUGAUAUAAAUGAAAGUAAUUCCUAGCAGGCAGGAUGACACUUGUUUUAUCACGAAUCUGACAAUCCAGCACAUUUUCUCAAGCAAUUUUGAAGUUGUCGUAGUAACAGCAUGGCAUUUGGAGGGUCUUUUUAGUAGUUCUUUAGCUAGAGUUAAUUAAUUGUAUUAACUCUGGAUGUUUUUCUUUUUACUCCUCUUUGACAAACAAGGGCUAUAAUUGCUCAAAUAUGUAUUUUGUGUUCUAUAUUUUUUGGUGACUAUAGUUUAAGGACGUGAUGUUUUUAAGUGGUUUCAGUAAAAGGUUAUCAGUUGAUUUCAGACACAUUAAACUUGGGUUUUUAAUUUCUCUGUAAAAUUCCACUAUCAUUGUAGGACCAGGAUUUAGUUUUAUUUAAGAAGUGAAUCUGGGGAGAUAUUUGCACAAAUUGAAUUGUGGCUUGCUUCCAGUGGUUGCAACUAUCCGUUGCUUUGAUUUUGGUGUAUUUAGAAAAAGAACUGGGGAAUGCAGAAAGGGAAAUGUGUCAGGCUUACAGGAGAAAAUUGUUUCUUUAGAAAUGCAACAGGCAGGCACACCACCAAAAGCAUGUUCCAUAAAAGAAAACAAAUAAAUUUGAUUUUGUGAAACUUAAGAAUGCAGUGCUCUUUGAAACUCUAAAAUAUACUUAAAUAAAUUCUCCCCUAGGAAGAUUUGUGGGAACUUUUUAUUGGUGGAAAGUAGGUUGGAACUUCUAGUAUUAAUAGUAAAACUCUGUGGCAGAAAUUCUUGCCAAUAUGGCGGUUGGUGAGAAAGGAAUCCCGUUUCUUGGGCAGGGAGAGGGUCAGAAGAAAGAAUUGUCUGUACUCAGUCUGGAUGCCGGGACUUAAAAAGUAUCAGAUAUACAAUGCUUUUGUUUUCUUGUAUAAGUGAACAGAGAGAUGUGACACUUCUAAAAGGUCUUGUGAGUUUUGUGGGUUUAAUGCUAAUGCCACUAUCCUUACUGUUCUGUGAGUAUUUGUUCAGCCACGGGUGAUUCAAGAGAGUUGGGGUAUCAGCAUGUGCAGCCAACAGCAGUCCAGGUGCUAAUGCACCACCGGUGAUGUCAGGAGUUACGAGACAGCGGUUUCCAAACACUGCAGUAAACAAGGUCAAAGUGUCCCGUUUCGCUGGAAGAAGUUUUGUUUUUAUGAGCUGGACAGUACAUGGAUGAAGUAAUUUUUCAAAACAAACUUUAAAUUUAUACAUGUGUUUUUUUUCUUCUUCUCUUUGGAUUAAAAUAAAUUGGCCCGUUGAGAUUAAAUAAUGGUUAUGUUUUUAAGCAGAAUUAUAUUUCAUAUGUUUUUCCAGUCUUUUAUUGAUUUUCUGUUUUUCACAGAAGAAAUGAAAAUAACUUCUGAUGUAGGGUUUCUUAAAUGCAGUUUGAGAGAGCAAGAUAGGAACCAGUACUUUCAAAAUAUGGCAAGUGCAAGUCACAAUCCCUAGUAAGAUAUUCCUUCUCAUUUUGUGCCUUUGACUCUUAUUUAGACAGACGUUUAAGUACGAGAAAGCUAAUGGCGCAGAUUCUGCUGACUGUGUGGCUCUCGUCUUAAUGCGUUUUCCAACCUUGAACCUGAGAAUGCCAGAGGAUUGAGUCUCUGGACGUUCAUCUGAGCAGAUAUCUGCUGGCCGCCUGGUUCCUGAGCUAACAAGUGGGUGUCCCGGGCUUGUGUGUGUAGUCACAACAGUGGAGGUGCCACGUGGCACCCAGAGGUCGACUGGGGCUACCGCGGGGCUUCCCGAUCCUCACAAGUGUGUCUUCAGUGUCUGACAUGAACUGGGAACUUGGGGCAUCUUUAGAAGCACAGACAUUUGGAGUUCCACGGCAAACCUGGAUGUAAGCACUCACACAGCUUUUAAAGUGAAAGCAGGGACCUUGAGGAAGGAAUCGCCGUCAUCUCAUUGCCGACCUGCUUACUGUGCUGGGAAACAAACAAUACCUUGAAGGUAAAAGGUGGGAGCACGACUGGAGUGUGGAACUGGAAAGCAGAAACCAGGGGUGUUACUUCUAUGUCUAGUAUGGAAUGUUGUGAAUUUAAGUUAGAGCUUCUGUGUCCUGGGAAUUCAUAUUUUAUCUCAAAGUGGUGCUGAUAGGACUGGAGGUAGCUGUAUUUCAUUUGAAACAUUCCAGCCUCUUUAUAGGAAUAUCUGUGAAUUUUUAAUUCAGCAAACAUCUUUAAGUGUGUCAUUUAUGUAUAGCGUUGUAGUCAGAGCUGUAAUUGUUUCACCAUUAAAUUUACGGAAAUUCAGUUUGUAAGUGAAAAAUUAAGAACAGUUUGAAAGAAGGGCGAAUGAGCAGAGCAUUGCCAUCUAAACAGUCUUGUUAAAGAUAGUGCCAAGUGAGCAGGACUGUCCCUUCUAAGCUGCCCCUCCUAAUUAAAGGGAAAGGUGGCUGCCAUCUGUCUUCUUUCAUUCAAGGCAGUAGGGGGUCUAGGGUGGAAGGAAGCAACCCCCACUUUAUUUUUCUCCCACUCUUUUUUAUAGUCAGCUUUCUCCCUAGUCAGUGACCCAGAAGGUCAUUGAUGAUCUGUCUAUCUCAGAAUGAAUAGUAGCAUAAGCACGCUUGGCACUUGCAAAAAAAAGAAAGUUUAUAACAUGCACUGAUCCAUUUAAAGUUCUGCUUGAAUUAUGUCUGAGAGUAUUGUAAUCUCUGUAUUGGUGUCUCUGCCCUGUUUGUUACCAAGGGCACUACUGGCAGGAAAAGUGGGGAGUUUUACUUUUAUUGAUUUUGCUUUUUCAUGAAAAAAUGUUUACACUCCACUGGGCAUAAUCAGAAGAUGGCAGCACAUGGCUAUGUACAGGAGAUGUGGGGAUGUACAGGAAUAUUGUUCUUAUCAAAAUCAAGGACACCUAUUAAUGAUGAUACAUAUAUGUCAUCUCAGGGGAAAGCAUGAACAAGCAUGGCAACAGAUGUCCAAGUUACUCAGUGGCCUGCUGCAGCUUUUUGGACCAGUUAUUGAAAUAAUUCACAUUGUUUAGCUUUUGUUAAGCAAUAAGGCUUUUAGCCUUUUUCUUGUAAGAAUACGUUGCAGGAGAGUUUAGUUUGGGGUCAUGUCUUCAUUGCUUUGGAAAUGUAGAAUAGUCCUCCAACAAAAUGACUGCAUUUGCUUGCCUUCGUUUCCACCUCUGUAAAUAGAAGAAAUAUCUGCUGUUUUUAUAAAUAUAUAAGAGAAUAUGAAAUAUUUUCCAUCUUUCAUAAGAACUGUGUUAUAACUGAAAAAUUCUCAAAUCUUCAGUUAUGUUUAUUUUCAAUUUUUACACACUUAAGCAAGGUGUUAACAGUCUUCUAAAGAGAUUCAGUUGUUACAAGCCUUGUUUAGUUCCCAAGUAGCAGGUAUGGACUUCUCAGAACAUACUGGUUUUUAGAACUCUCUUUGUGACACAGAAGUGUGGUAUUUCUUAAACCCAUAACAAUAUAUUUGGAGAGCUCAAAUGUGAAAGUCAUGUCUGUAAUUUUAUUUAGAGCUUUUUUUUUUUUUUUUUUUUCCAAAUUUGUCACCAACUUGCAACGAGCUUUCUUGGAAACAUAGACGUGUUUAUGUUGUUGAGUCUUGAGAUGAACAUGUGUGGGCUUCUGACGACACUGAUGCCCAGUUUGUAUGAUUGGAUGAUACCUGAAAAGUGGGUCACUUCCUAGUCAGUGAAGGGUACACAGGGCUGAAUAGGCAGGGCUUUUUGGCUUUUUCCGUGCUUUUGUUUUUGUUUUUGGUGUGUGUGUGUACUAAUUUUAGAUACUCAGCUAGGUACUUGACUGGCUAUCCUUUUUAGCAUGUGAUUUAAUUUGGUUUUACCCAUCAGUAUUUAUUUCAAGGGGACUAAAUAAACACAUUAAAUGAAGCACUUAAGAACUUUCUAUCUUCUUUUGACUAUCCACAGCGGUGGGAAAUCUCUGUCCUUUGAGGGUAGGAGGGAGCCAAUAGUUAGGUCUCAUGAAUAUGGUAGGUGAUCAAACCACUGAUUCAAGUCAUUGUUUCAUGUUAUAAACAUGGACUGAGCCAGCUACUACAUUUCAGUAGAAGGUACUGUAGAUUCAAAAGUGAACAUGGGUCUGGCAUUUCAGAAAGACACAGGUUAGUGAGAUAAAUGACUAUAAAAAGAGGUAGCACUGUAGACUGAUGUCCUGUAACAGAGGUACACGUGUGCUGUUAGAGCCAAGAGGGGGUCAAAAUAAAAAGACAGGGCACGGUGGCUCAUACCUGUGAUCCCAGCACUUUAGGAGGCUGAGGUGGGAGGAUCACUUGAGGCCAGGAGUUCAAGACCAGCCUGGGCAACAUAGAUCCCCAUCUCUACAAAAAAAUAAAAUAAAAUAAAAAAAUAAGCCACACAUGGUGGCAUGCAUCUAUAGUCCUAGCUACUUGGGAGGCUGAGGCAGGAGGAUCCCUUGAGCCCUGGAGUUGAAGGCUAUAGUGAGCUAUGAUCACACCACUGCACUCUAGCCUGAGCGACAGAACAAGAUCCCAUCUCUGAAAAAAUGGAUGAGUGAAUUAAAUUUCAAAAUAGAGAUUUAAUGGAAAAAUGAGAAUUGUUGUGUACAUGAUUUAUGAAGUGGCUUACAUAAUAUAAUUUUGGACAUGAAAGCCCUGAAAAAUAGCUUCUUAUUUUAAGGAUGAACAGACUGGGAUUUAUUUCUGAAAUUCUAUAAUUCUCAGUCAGUUGUAAGGCUUUCAUUAUAUAAUAGACUUUUUUUUUUAACCAACGGAAGUUGGACCUCUUCAAAAUGUGAGAUCCAAAAAGGUUUUGGAUAUUGUUUGAAUAACUCUCUUCUCCAAAGGAGACUGUUUUUGAAAAAUGAUUCUUUCUGACAUGUUAAAAUUGAAUAUUUUUGACACGCCAAAUGCACCAAAGUAUUAUAUGUCAUGUUUAUUGCCGAGAGUAGCUAUAUAGCUUGUGGGAGACAGUUAACGUGAAGCUUUCUUGCAUCUGGAAGUAUGGGGAGAGAGAAGGCUUCUUCACACCCCCUUUCAUGUUAUAUUCUACAGGGAAAGAAUUUCUAUCAUGUAGACACUAGGUGACUCCCUUGUGGAUAAUUUCAUUUAACAAUGAUUUCUGGGUGUUGCUCUAUGCCAGGCACUGUUCUAGGAGCUGAUGCGAAGGCUCAGCUGAUGGGCUACAGACCUGAAGGCCUGUGCUCCUCAGUGGCACUCUGUAGGUAGAUACAGAGCCACCAUCUACUGGGUGCUUCUCCUGAGUGUGACAGUGUAGGCUGGGACACGAUGCUACCCUUCAAGGAGCUUGAAGCUAAGGUUCUGUGCACAGAUAAAAUUAGAAUAAAUGCAGAGAUGCUAUAACAAGAUGUCUUAGAAAAAAGAAAAACAAAGAAUAAAUGCAGAGAGAAAGAGAAAUGUAUAAAAGGUAGAGAGAUAAACAUACCACAAGUUCAUAGAAAAGAAAGGUUGUGUGUUUAUCUGUGGCUGGGAUGAUCAAGAAAUGCUUCAUGGAUAAAGAGCCUUUGAGCCAGACAUUGAAAGAAAGGUAAUGUUGGACUUGAGGUCUUGGAGUAUCCUCGUUGAAGGAAACAUGAGCAAAGGCAUAGGUAGGGAUGGGAAAUGCCGGGGUGCAGAGUGGGCAGGAAUCGAUUUGUAGUUGCUGGGCAAUGAUGUGUGUAAACCACUAAGGAGAAGAUCAGGUAGCAAAGGUCCUUGGAGGCCAGAACCCAGAGGGCCUUGAAUGGCACGUGACUAAAUGAUUUAAACUUAAGUUACUGGGGAGCAAUGGAAGAAUUUGAGUGGCUAGAGUCCCCAUCCUGAAGAGGCCUUGCGGGGAUCAGCAUGUGGGUGCCUCUGGACUGUGAAAUAGCCAGAGCUGGGAAGCCUUUUAGAGCUGCUGUUGUGGUCCAGGAGGGAGGUGGGGAGGGCCUGGGUGAGGGGAAGGCCACUAGAUGGAGAAAUUGAAUUUAUGAGAUGGGAUUUAGGAACUGCCUAGAUAAUAGGGGUUGGCCGAUGGGAAGCAAAAAUGCCCCCAGAGCUUUGAACCCAGGUGCCAUUCAUUAUUUCUAUGCCAUCUGCCAGGCAUUGCAUAGCUAUUAUCUCAUUUAAUCUCCUCCUAAUCUUGUGGGUUGGUAUUUUCAUCCUUAUAUCAGAGACGAGAAAACUAAGGGUCAGAGAAAAUUAGCAAUUGGUCUAAAAUUGUACAGUUGUAACAGGAUCUAGAACAGGGACUUCAGUACAGGCCUCCCUGACCCCCAAGCCUGUGUUCUUUCUACUGUACUAGGCUUGGAAGACAGCGUACGUGAGAGCAAAGACAAGCUCUGUCCACUCUGUGCAUAUUCAGUGUAGGUGCUGGUGAGAUUCCCGCCUUCAGGUGUCCAGCAAGUGGUUGGAGACAUGGAGCCGAAUCUCAAGGACAUUGGGAGGAUUGAAGGUCAAGGCUUAAGAACCAUCUGCAUCCUCAUUUAUUUAUUCAGCAGCUAUUUGUUGUGUCUUCGUGGACCAGCUUGGCAGCAUGAAUGCUGUGACCAACAAGAGAGGUGUGUCCUUCACGGAGCUGCCAGGCUGGGAGGGAGCCCUGAUGGCGUGGCUUGAGUGUAAGGCAGGAGGUGUGCAGAUUGGCUGUGGGAACUUACUGGCCUAACCUUGUCAGGUCAGGGAAGCUCUCUAGAGGCAGUUGUGGUUCUCAACAUGAGACUCAAAUGAUGAGGACCCAGUUAAAAAGUGGGAAAACAGCAUACCCCAGGCCGUGGAAGUAGCGCGUACUCAGGCAGAGCAAGAUAAGAACACAGUGUCUUUAAACCAAAAACCACGUGUGGCUGGAAUGGAGGGAAGAGCAAGGAGAUAAGACAGGUGAGCAGGAACCAGAACAAGAAAUGCCCUGGAAGCUGUGAGACGCUUGGAAUUCACCUGUGAAGAAAAGAGUAGCCUCAUCUGAAUUCCUUGCCUCGAUUAUGGUCUCCAAUAGAAGAUUAAAUGGCUGUGGAGUCUAGAGGUUUUUUCCUUCGGUGUGGGCAUCACCCCUUCUGAAAGGAUGGUGUAAUGGCUAAUUGUAUGUAUCAGCUUGGCGAGGCCACAGUACCCAGAUACUUGGUCAAGCACCAGUCUAGAUGUCGCUGUGCAGGUAGUUUUUUAGAUGAGGUUUAACAUUUAUAUCAGUAGAAGGAGUGAAGCAGAUUAUCCUUUGUAAUGUAUGUAGGCCUCAUAUAUCAUCAGUUGAAGGCCUUAAGAGAAAAAGAUUGAAGUCCCUAAAGAAGAAGGAACUCUGUCUCCAGUCUCCCUUCAGACUCAAGACUGCAACAUCGGCCUGGCACGGUGGCUCACGCCUGUAAUCCCAGCACUUUGGGAGGCUGAGAUGGGUGGAUCGCUUGAGAUCAGGAGUUCAAGACCAGCCUGGCCAACAUGGCAAAAACCUGUCUCUAUUUAAAAACACAAAAAUUAGUUGGGCAUGGUGGCAGGCGCCUGUAGUCCCAGCUACUUGGGAGGCUGCGGCAUGAGAAUCACUUGAACCCAGGAGGCAGAGGUUGCAGUGAGCUGAGAUCAUGUAACUGCACUCUAGCCUGGGCGACAGAGUGAGACUCUGUCUCAAAAAAAAAAAAAAAAAGACUGCAACAUCAACUCUUCCCUUGGUCACCAGCAUGCCCUGAAGAUUGUGGAUUUGUCAGUCCCUGUAAUUGCAUGAGCCAGUUCCUUAAGGUAAAUAUCAGUAUCUACCCCCACCCCCACCACUCUCUCUCUCAAUCUCAAUCUCAGUCUCUCUCUCUCUCAAUCUCAAUCUCCCUCUCAAUCGCCCUCUCCCUCUUCCUCUUCCUCUCCCUCUCUCCCUCUUGGUUCUGUUUCUCUGGAGAACCCUGACUAAUGCAGAUAGGAAGAUAAAUAAAUUUAAGUUGUUUGGCUCCAGUUGGUAUUAGCAGAAAGCUGCAUCAGGCUUCUCUAGGUGUUCUUGGUGUGUGCGUAUAUUGCUUUUUGUAUAGAUGAGAAUAGUGAAAUAUAGAAGGGAAGUGAUGUACCCACAGUCAUGCAGACAGUUGAUGGGAGAGCCAAGGAGAAAACUCAAGUUUCAAACCUCUGGUGUAGUUCAGUCGCUUUCUUGCUAUUUGGCCCUCAUGUUUUUAUUAGCAAGGUAAUAAAGUUAUUGAGUUUGCCAUGCGUAAUUAUUGGUAAUGUUUAUGGAAUGUUCUCUGUAUGUCAGGUGCUGUUUUAGUUGCCCUACAGGUGUUAGUGAUUUUAAUCCUUACAACUACCUAAUGAGAUAGGGAAUAAUACUAUCCCAUUUUACAGAUUUUAAGCAAUGAGUCCAGUGAGCGAUGUGGUCAUUGCUACACAGCUAGUGAGUGACAGAGCUGGACUGAAGACUCAGGCAGCCUGGCUGCAGAGGUUGUGCUAUUGACUACUCCACCGCUUCUCAGCUUAAUGCCCCGAGCACAGCUUUUCAUCUCUCCCUUUGGAACCAUUGUCCAGAAUAUUUAUUAUGGUAGUGUGCUCUUGGUAGGGCUUGUAUUGAAAGAGAAAAUGCUUAUAAGUUAUUUUUCAAGAGACCAUCCGAUAAUGCUUCUUAGCUCCUUGAAAAACAGAAAACAUUCCCAUUACAGCAACACUGUAGACCACCUGCUGGAGUAUAUUUUUAGCAACUAGACUUUGCUGUCUAGCCUAGUGACACUGGUGGGCAUCUGAUUUGCCCAGGGUCAUACAGGAGCGUGAUAAAGUGGUGAUAUGAGUUGGCUCCUGGUUCAGCAUUUUGGGGUGUGUUCUGGGGGAGAAAAUAGCAAACCUCUUUGUGUGUGUCCCUUGGAUCUUUGAGAGAACAAUCAUCAUAACUCCCAUUUAUUAGGUCUGUUGGGUGCUAGAUGCUGUUGUAAGUGCUUUAUAAACAUUGUCUCAUGGAAUCUUCUCAAUAGCCCUGAAAGGCUGGCAUUACCAUCCCAUUUUACAUAUAAAGUAAGCAGUGAUUAGGGAGUGACAUUUCCAAAGCAAGUAGCAGAACCAAGGAUUAAACCUCAUCUGAAUGACUCCAAGCCAGUGCUCUUGGUCACUUGGCUAUGUCUAUACUGGGUGUCUGUACUGGACCUCUCUCUGUAUAUACUGGGUAUCUAUACUGGAGCUCACCAUUCUUCCCCAUAGACUAUGAACUCCAUAAGGGACUUUCUCCAUUGAUUCACCACCAUACUUCAGCACCUGCCAAGUACACUACCUGACACACAGUAGGUACUUAAUGCACAUACAGUCAUGUGUCAUUUAACAAUGGGGAUAGGCAGUUUUGUCAUCGUGUGAACAUCAUAGAGUGUAUAUACAUAAACCUACAUGGUAUAGCCUACUACAUCCCUAGGCGAUAUGAUAUGGCCCUAUUGCUCCUAGGCCACAAACCUGUGUGGCGUACAGUACGACUGUACUGAAUACAUUGUAACACAAUGGUAAGUGCUCAUAUAUCUAAACAUACCUAAACAUAGAAAAAGUAAAGCCCUGCAGUGUGUUACAGUGGCUACAGUGUCACUAGGCAAUAGGAAUUUUCAGCUCCAUGUAAUCUUGCGGGCCCACCAUCAUGGGUGCGGUGCACCAUUGACUGAAAUGUUAUGCUGCACAUGACUGUAUAUUGAGCGAAUAACAGACUCAUUGUGUUCUCUGUGAUCGCUUCCGAAUGGCGAGAGGGCCAGGGCCAAAGGGCACAGACCUGUGAGUGUGUUAUGGACUCAUGUGGGUUUAGCCUUCACGAUAUAUAUGAAUAUAUCAUAAUGUGUGUAUCUAGUGUGUGAAUAUAUAUCAUAACUUAUCCACUUUAUGGAUAUCAUAAUUUAUCCAUUUUAGUGAUUCCAGGACAUUUUGUCUAUCUAUGCUUUUUUUUUUUUUUUUUUUUUUUUGAAAUGGAGUCUCACUCUGUCACCCAGGCUGGAGUGCAAGUGGCACAAUCUUGGGUCACUGCAGCCUCUGCCUCCCCAGUUCAAGCGAUUCUCCUGCCUCAGCCUCCUGAGUAGCUAGGACUACAGGCACAUGCUACCACACCCGGCUAAUCUUCGUAUUUUUAGUAGAGAUGGGGUUUCACCAUGUUGCUGGUCUCAAACUCCUGACUUCAAGUGACCUGCCCGCCUCAACCUCCCAAAGUGCUGAGAUUACAGGCAUGAGCCACCGUGCCUGCCCUCUAGCUAUGCUUUAAGGCAGGCCUAUCAGCCCAGACUGGAGUCAUGUAAUACAUGGCUCUGUCAGUAGCUCUCCUUCCCACAAAUAAGUUUUGAUGAUCUUACACUCAUCCCUGCCAUUAGCAUUCAGGACCAAUCUUCUAUAGCCUAUACGCCACACUGGUCUAGGACAGCACCUAAAUAAUACUCAUGCUAUAAAAAAUUCAUCAAGUUAUAUAUUUUUAAAAACAUCCCUAAAAUUAUCUUUUUCCUUUACUGAAAAGAAUUUCAGGAUCCCCUCUCUCUCACUGCCUCUCUUCACACACACCUACCUUAGUUGGUCACCUAUUUUGUAAACAUAUCUUCUUUAAAAAAAGAAAGAAAUGGCAGUACAUGAAAAACUGCUUCGUAAACAGAAACUAUAUUAUUUAUAUUUGUAGCAUUUUUUUCCCCUUGAGGUUAAUUUCCUUUGCUUCCCAUAACUGGAAGCCAAUGAUUCAGUGCCAUUAUAUAAGCUUAUUUUCCCUCUUGGAAAUAGUAAAUUAUAAGAGGUUUGACCCAAAAAUAUACAUCAAAAUUAGGCAGUAUUCGGUGUUUAGCCUCCAUCUGCCUUGUCUUCUUGUCUUUAGUUGUGCAAGUAGAUGCUGAUGAUUUCUGGCAGAGCUAAAGUAAGUAAAUCAUGUGAAUUUAUUUUUUUUCCUCAUAAAACAGAUGGCAUGGUCUAGCUCUGGGCUUGUAUGUUUCAUGAAGUACAUGGGUCUGAGUGCGUAUUUAUUUUGUGAGCCAAGGUUUAUGCCUUCUUCUAUAAUUUUCUUUCACCGAAAAUUACCUGGAGAGCUAGAAACUCCAUUUGUGUCAGUGUAAGAAGCUUUAGAAUCUAUAUCCAGACCAAGGCCAUGGAACAAUGUAGAUUCACUCAGUAAAAACUCACUAGCGGCCUUCUUUGUACUAGUCUGUCACCUUUGCUUGGCUUUGGGAAGCUUCAAACUAGGGCAGUUUAUGUUUGGGAGUGACCAGUCAAAUAGCAAGACAGACAUAGGCAAGGAUGUAAUUUUUAAAAAUUUAAGUGGGGAAUGGUGAAGCAUGAAUCAAAACAGAAGGUAGUCUUACCUUCUUGGAACUGUAAAAUAAAUACAUUUGAAAAAGGCACCCUCUCAACCUUCUGCGAGUCAGAAUUUUUGCUGCCACCCCUCAUUUUGAAUCUCUAUUCUGCAUUUUUUAUUCUUUUUUUUAGGAAGGAGGAAGAAAAAUUUCUCCUGAAGAAUUCAUUGGAAAUUAAAAUUAACUUGCGUAUUUUGUAUUCUUUGGAAUGUGAUGAAGACUGAUUUGAAAGGGCAGUGCUGGAUUUGGUCAGGCAUAGGAAAGGAAGACAUGCAGUCGUCCUGCCUAGCUCAUCCCCGCCACGAUGGAGAAGUGGGGUUGCUUUCGUUGUACUUUUUUUCAUUUGUUUCUUGCCAAGCCCAGUGGCUUCUGUUAUAACAUGUGGCAGCUUCUCCCUUGGAGACUGAUUCAGUCCAAGUUACCAUAAUAUUUAGGACCAGCUACAGAGACGUUUCUUCCCCUAAACCCAUGCCAAAUCUAAAUCAAACUAUCUUCUUCUCCUUAGCCGUUCAAAUAGCUCCAGCUCUUAUAUAAAAAUACGAGAAAUACACAGGCCUCUUUUCGUUUUAUUCCUGUUCAAACAGAUAAACAAACAAGGCACAUCAUGCCUAGGUUGCUUUGAGCUUGAUCACUUCCUCCUAAAGCAGUCUUACGCUGUGUUGAUUUUAAGAAUUGCAACUUAGGUGUUCUAGAACAUAUUCUGAGAGCAUAGUCAUAGUCUGUGAUCUCAGAAUAUGUUUGCUUCCUUCUAGAACAUCUGAGUUCUAGAAAUUGCGUACAAUAAACUGCUGUCAGUGCUGCUGGAGGAAGGAAGAGUAACUCUGACAUCACUGGCCUUCAACAGGUGUGGCGCUGAGCUUCUGGGCCUCAGAAGCCCUGACUUCUAGAGGCUGGGGGCCAGCGGGGCAGGGAGGUGAUCUCAUCAUGGAUGGCCACAGAUCAUCCACCUGCCAAACAGUUAACCCUGAACAAGUCAUGUCAAUUUAUUUUGCUUUUAAAAAAGAAAGUCUGCAAAAUAGAAAAAAAAAAAAAAAGAUUCUUCAUAAAUACAUUUGUUCUGAUCUGUAAAUACCCUGGUCAUUUCCCCCUUGGCAUUUGAUACACAUAGUAUAGACAUAUUUUAGUCAUCCUUGCUCAAGUAAUUAUAUUCCAUAACCAACUUUAUUAGCAUAAAUUAACUUCCUCAUAUUUUUAGCAAGAGUUACUUUCCUUCAUUGCUUAGCUUAUUGUUUUGAAAUAUGAAUUACUUCAGCACAGUUCAUUUUUGUGGAUGGCAUUUCUGUCUUUUUAAUUUAUAAUUAUUUGAUAUAUACAAAAGAUGGUAUGUAACAUACAAGUAAACUCUAAAGCACAAUUUUAAAGGUGCUCCAGUGAACCACCAUCCAACUUAAGAAUUGGCUCAUUACAAAUACUUGGAGAUCUCGCUAAGUAUCUUAUUCCUAGCAUUUUCCUGCUUUCCCACUAUUCCGAAAUUUGUAUUUAUAAUUAUCCUGAUUUUUAAACAAACAUAUAUUUUUAUCACAGUGUAAUGAGUAAAUGUGUGUUGCUAAAGGUAUUUUGAGACAUAUAAAAAUAGUAUCGGACUUUGCAUGGUCUUUUUGGAACUUGAGAUUUUCCUCCAUAUAUUUGCAAAAUUCAUCCAUGUUUUCAGGAAUAGCUACAGUUCCUUCAUAUUGCCAGAAUAUUCUAGUGUGUGAAUAUAUCAUAAUUUAUCCACUAUCUUAUUUAUUGAGGGGGGGUGGGAAACAAGGAGCUCUUUUUAUAGACAUGUUGAGUCUGAGAUCUCUAUUAGAAAUCCAUUGGAAAUGAGCAGGCAGGUGGAUGCUGUUAUUCAGGAGAGAUGACUGAGAUGGAACUAACAGCGUGUAGAUGGCAUCUAAAGCAUUGUCUUCCCAACUAUUCUUAGAAUGAUGGGCCAUUUAGCCCAUCAACUGAGAUUUCUGUGUUAACAGUUUUUUGUUUUUUGUUUUUUGUUUUUUAAUUUCUUAAAGGUCUAUCUGGUGUUUUUUGUUUGUUUGCUUUUUCCCAAAUCUGCCUGGUCACUUUGUUCAAGUGUGACUUGUAAGGGAGUAAACAAGGAGAGUAUGAGCUUCAAAGAAAAUGGGGGGAAGUAUUUUGCCAGCUCUCAUGGAGUUUUGUGAGAUCCAAAAGAAAUGCUAUAUGUAAAUUUGCUUUGUAAACUGAAAAAAGUUAUGCACUCAAUUAUUAUAUUUGAUGAUGGCACCUUGUUGGGUUCUGGUUAAUGCCUCAUAUUCACUGAGUGCUUACUUUAUCUAUAUUAACACAUCUCAUCUUUAUAACAAUCUGUGAGAAGUAGGUACUGUAGAUUCAUAUUUUACAGAGGAAAGUACAGCUUAUAAAUGGUAGACCCAGGAUUUGAAUUCAUAGAGUCUGCUUCUAGAAGGUGUGUUCUUAGCUCCAGUGCUAUGCUGUCAUAUUGAUUUCCUGCCUGCCUUCUCCUUCCUUCCUUCUCCCCUCCCUCCCUCCCUUCCUUCCUUUCCUUCUUUUUUUUUUUUUUUUUUUUUUUUUUUUUUUUUUUUUUGAGACGGGGUCUCACUCUGUCACCCAGGCUGGGGUGCAGUAGCAUGACAAUAGCUCACUGUAGCCUUGACCUCCUGGGCUCAAGUGAUCCUCCUGCCUCAACUUCCUGAGUAGCUGGGACUACAGGCACAUCCCACCAUGCCUGGCUAAUUUUUAAAUGUUUUGUAGAGAUGUGGUCUCCCUAUGUUACCCAGGCUAGUCUCAAACUCCUGGACUCAAGUGAUCCUCCCACCUUGGCCUCCCAAAGUGCUGAGAUUACAGGUGUGAGCCACCACACCUGGCCAUACUGUCCUUCUUUAAAUGACAGGUUUCUUCCCACUCCUUCAGCUUCAAGAGUACAAACAUUUUAGGGUCACAUUUCAGCAUGUCCACCUUGAACCCAGCUACAAAAAUCCUACCCCAGGCAGUGGGCCCCCAGCAAAGGGCUGUGUGUGCUGACCUAGUUUCACCACCGAACCCAGCCCCAGACCUCACAGGGCACUGCUCACCUGCCAGGUGCCCACUCUGUGCUUGUUGAAGAUGGUGUCUUCUUGAUUUCACUUAUUUGCCUGAAGCCACCCAAUAAGUCAGUAGUGGGCCAGAGAAUAGAAACCAAGUCUCCUGCCUUUCAAGUGUCACAUUUGUUUUGUGUUAAUAAGCUAUAUACCUCCAGGGGAUCUGGCAGAAAUUUGAAGGUGGUUAAUUUUACUGCAAUAAAUACUUAAGAAUCCUUUUUAAAGCAAAGAAGUCAAGCCCCCGCCAGGGAAAACACAAUCUGCUCUGAGGGCCUUUGACAAACUGACAUGGGCACUAGGACUAGGUCAUGGAUCAUUGGCCCUUGAUUCUGUCUCCCACUGAGCAUCCCAAAGGGGUUGAGACCUCUGCUGGAGCCACUAGGCUUCAGCCGGACCUGGAAAUGUUCUCGCAAAUGAAACUGGAAUGCAUGAUGUCCUGGAUUCAGCGGGUCACAGCUGACUGCCAUCAGGAGGUGUGACGGAGAAGGUUCCAUUUCUGUGACCCUGUGGUGAUACAGGUCGGGACCCAGGCGAAGUAGCUCAGCCAUCUGAAUUGGCACCUUUCUGCUUUUCUCGCUGAGUGACGGGUGCCUUGCAGUUGGCUUCAGAUGUUUGUGAAUGUGCUGUGUUUCCUAAAGCCAUGUCAGUCAGGAAGAAGAUGCAGGUAUUCAGGAGAAGGGAGAAGAAAAUCUGAAUUAGAAACAACGUGAGGAUGGGGAGCACAGGGAGGGAUGGGUUACCUUUGUCAUCAGAAGAACGCCAGGCAGAUUUUAGUCCCUCAGCUAAUAAUACUAUUUGAAAAAUUGAUGGAGAAAUUUAACUGGAAGGUUUCAGCAAGACAAAAGCUGCAUCUCCAAGGCUGGACUCAGCGUGUUCACGUGGGAACUGGGUGUGAGUGUAAUUGUCAGAGGGGAGGGUUGUCACAGGAGGUGCACGAUGUGAAGUCACAAGGGGACGCAUUAUUUCCAUGAGUUCUCACAGUUCCCAGGGCAGCCACAGAUGGUAGUGGUUUAUGUCUGCCUCUGCCUUGACAGAAGGGCAGUAGGCAGUUGUGGCAAGAAAAAUGGACCAAAUGAGGGCUGCACUCAGCAGGUUAAAUUUGCUGUCUGUUAGUGUUCCUAGGUGAGAUGCUUCAAAACUAGAAUGCUCUGCUGGGACUUUUAUUUCCCUUAGAAAUAAAAGGCCAGGCGCGGUGGCUCAUG
This 17645-nucleotide long non-coding RNA is filed under the name Homo sapiens (human). Its description in RNAcentral is "non-protein coding LINC-PINT:41". The record is from RNAcentral. Lineage: Eukaryota; Metazoa; Chordata; Mammalia; Primates; Hominidae.